AUUGAACGCUGGCGGCAUGCCUUACACAUGCAAGUCGAACGGCAGCACGGGUGCUUGCACCUGGUGGCGAGUGGCGAACGGGUGAGUAAUACAUCGGAACAUGUCCUGUAGUGGGGGAUAGCCCGGCGAAAGCCGGAUUAAUACCGCAUACGAUCUACGGAUGAAAGCGGGGGCCCUUCGGGCCUUGCGCUAUAGGGAUGGCCGAUGGCUGAUUAGCUAGUUGGUGGGGUAAAGGCCUACCAAGGCGACAAUCAGUAGCUGGUCUGAGAGGACGACCAGCCACACUGGGACUGAGACACGGCCCAGACUCCUACGGGAGGAAGCAGUGGGGAAUUUUGGACAAUGGGCGAAAGCCUGAUCCAGCAAUGCCGCGUGUGUGAAGAAGGCCUUCGGGUUGUAAAGCACUUUUGUCCGGAAAGAAAUCCUUGGCCCUAAUACGGUCGGGGGAUGACGGUACCGGAAGAAUAAGCACCGGCUAACUACGUG
Molecule: ribosomal RNA, 486 nt
Filed under: uncultured bacterium
Lineage: Bacteria
Description: partial 16S ribosomal RNA
Rfam family: Bacterial small subunit ribosomal RNA
Source: RNAcentral